This is a long non-coding RNA of Pongo pygmaeus (Bornean orangutan), 839 nucleotides long. RefSeq lists it as uncharacterized. The record is from RefSeq and is a predicted model, not a curated record. The transcript has 4 exons. NCBI's taxonomy places the organism in Eukaryota, Metazoa, Chordata, Mammalia, Primates, Hominidae.
CAGAGAAAGACAAUGAAAUGGAGAGCAAAGCAGAAUGCUGAGGGAGCAUGAGAGUGCUGCGUCUCUAUAGCCUACACCUGGGACUUCUCUGGCCUGGAUCCAUUUCCAGUGACAGAUCUAGGCCACAUGUAGACUUGAAGUAACUCAAGUAUACAGAACCAUAAGAUUCUGAAGAGAACAAUCUCAACUCUUUCUACGCAUUUAAAAAUUGUAUGGCCAUGGUGCAAAAGAAGGAACGAGUUUCUGUAGCCCGGAGAAGUGUGAUUAUUAUUAGGAUGAAAAUCAUGGUUCCAUGUGCUUUCUUCACUCAACUAGUGUUUAUGAAGACUGUAUUAUAAUCCAAAUAGUAUGUUUAAUACUGAGAAAGAGAGGGAGAAAAGUGUGGCUUUGCCUCAAGGUGCCAACAAGGUGAUCUCAAAAUAGACUGAUAUUAGUAUUUUCAAUAUUUGGAUUAUACAAUCCAUGGUCAUGAAACUUUUUUCAGAGUUUGAGCUGGGGUGGAGGGGAGAAGCUAACAGUACACAAAUAUUGCAGAAGAAAAGAUUAUCAUAAGAAUUCCAAUAUGAUUGGAGGAGAGUACACGCAGCUAUGAAUAGUAGAAGAUGAGAAUCCAGACGCUGGUGGAUUUUACACCACACUAAAGAGUUUGACCUGUAUCCUACAAACAUCAGGGGUGUUUAAAUGAGGUGGAGAUAUGAAGCAGGGCAUUCUUUUUAUUAAUAAAAGAUAAAGGUCAGAAUGGACUGAAGGAAAUGACAACAGGAGAUGACUGGACAUACAGAUUGAGAAGUCAUCUGCACAUGGAAAUAUAGCUCAUAAUAUAAGAUAAAGCUAUUGAU